UGUUGUUGACAGAGGAGCCAUUAGUGGCACAGAAGCCCUUGCCCUGCAUGUGGUGGGGCAGGCAGAGGCCAUGAUUGCCCUGGCACGGCCUGGCAGCAGGGCGGUGACCACUGGGCCUCAGCGUUGGGCUUGUAGCAGGGCCGCACUGUGAGGCUGGCACAUGGCAGCCAUCGCCCCAGGCCGAUGGUGUGGCCAUUAGCAGUCAGCAGGGUGAGAUGCAGCAGGAUGGCUAUGCGGGCCUGGGGCCUGGAACGUAAGAAAAUACCAGGUUUCUCACUAUAAUCAGACUACAUCAAGGUAACAGAUUUCAGAUGCCAGCUAGGGCACUGACUACUCUGCCAUGCUCACGGUACUCUGAUGCUGAUCUCAGACAUGCCCUGCUGUAACAGAGGAUUUCAGUGCCUGCUUGCCUCAUCUUCCACUAAGCAGAAAACGGUGCUGCGGUGUGUCAGAUAAUUUUGCACAUAGAAAACGGUAAAAUAUGUAUGUGUCCUCAUGAUGGCAGGAAUAGUAACAAACAGAUGGCUUCAGUUUAUCCCUACAGUGAGUACCCAAUGAGCAGAAGUGAGUUAUGCUGUGCAUUGUUUUCAUAAAUCUGUUUCACUGCAUUUAUUCAAGAUGUGACUAGAUUCAGAAUAACAGUAACAAAAUCUGUAUAAACAAAGCUAAAACAAAUUUGAAAAUACUUUUGUGUCUAAUUUUAAAUUUGUUAAAUGACUGUUAGAUACGAGCAGUGUUUCUCAGAACAUCUGUGUAAUGCUAUUAAAAUAAAAAUAUUG
Molecule: long non-coding RNA, 779 nt
Organism: Cygnus olor (mute swan)
Lineage: Eukaryota; Metazoa; Chordata; Aves; Anseriformes; Anatidae
Exons: 3
Source: RefSeq, a predicted model, not a curated record